This 71-nucleotide transfer RNA is filed under the name Ignavibacteriales bacterium. It matches the Rfam family "tRNA". From Rfam's summary of the family: Transfer RNA (tRNA) molecules are approximately 80 nucleotides in length. Their secondary structure includes four short double-helical elements and three loops (D, anti-codon, and T loops). Lineage: Bacteria; Pseudomonadati; Ignavibacteriota; Ignavibacteria; Ignavibacteriales. The record is from Rfam by way of RNAcentral.
UGCCGAGUCGUCUAAUGGUAGGACACCGGCCUUUGGAGCCGUUUGUGGAGGUUCGAAUCCUCCCCCGGCAG